Molecule: ribosomal RNA, 392 nt
Filed under: uncultured fungus
Lineage: Eukaryota; Fungi
Description: eukaryotic LSU rRNA
Rfam family: 5.8S ribosomal RNA (bases 2-142)
Source: RNAcentral
CGGAUCUCUUGGUUCUGGCAUCGAUGAAGAACGCAGCGAAAUGCGAUAAGUAAUGUGAAUUGCAGAAUUCAGUGAAUCAUCGAAUCUUUGAACGCACAUUGCGCCCUUUGGUAUUCCGAAGGGCAUGCCUGUUCGAGCGUCAUUAUCAACCAUCAAGCUCUGCUUGGCAUUGGGUGUCGACCCCCCCUCACCGGGUGGUCUCGCCUCAAACUGUUCGGCGGUGGCUCAGGGCCUCAAGCGUUAGUAAUACUUCCCGCUUCGGAGAAACUGAGUUGCCUGCCUCCAGAAACCCCCAUCUCAAGGUUGACCUCGGAUCAGGUAGGGAUACCCGCUGAGCUUAAGCAUAUCAAUAAGCGGAGGAAAAGAAACCAACAGGGAUUGCCCCAGUAACG